GCUUUCAUGGUGUAGUGGUCAGCACGCUGGGCACAUAUUCCAGACGUCCGUGGUUCGAGUCCCGGCGAAGGCA
This 73-nucleotide transfer RNA is filed under the name Stegodyphus mimosarum. It matches the Rfam family "tRNA". Rfam says of the family: Transfer RNA (tRNA) molecules are approximately 80 nucleotides in length. Their secondary structure includes four short double-helical elements and three loops (D, anti-codon, and T loops). Further hydrogen bonds mediate the characteristic L-shaped molecular structure. tRNAs have two regions of fundamental functional importance: the anti-codon, which is responsible for specific mRNA codon recognition, and the 3' end, to which the tRNAs corresponding amino acid is attached (by aminoacyl-tRNA synthetases). tRNAs cope with the degeneracy of the genetic code in two manners: having more than one tRNA (with a specific anti-codon) for a particular amino acid; and 'wobble' base-pairing, i.e. permitting non-standard base-pairing at the 3rd anti-codon position. Lineage: Eukaryota; Metazoa; Arthropoda; Arachnida; Araneae; Eresidae. The record is from Rfam by way of RNAcentral.